Carassius auratus (goldfish) is the source of this 181-nucleotide long non-coding RNA. RefSeq lists it as uncharacterized. The record is from RefSeq and is a predicted model, not a curated record. Lineage: Eukaryota; Metazoa; Chordata; Actinopteri; Cypriniformes; Cyprinidae. The transcript has 3 exons.
ACUUAGAAACACUGAAGUCCCAAGGACUUCAUAGUGAAGAUGUCCUUGGGACAAUUGGGCCUUUCAAAAUCUUUUUGGGUAGUUUGGAGGCCCUUUUAGGCCCAUUUGAACUUCCAGAUGAGGUAAUGGAUGCCUUAUUUUACAUCAUGAGCAGGAGCCAGCCUGGGACAGAGGCAAUUAA